UACGUAGGGGGCAAGCGUUGUCCGGAAUCAUUGGGCGUAAAGAGCGCGUAGGCGGUCCGAUAAGUCAGCUGUGAAAGUCGGGGGCUCAACCCUCGAAAGCCGGUUGAUACUGUCGGGCUAGAGUCCGGAAGAGGCAAGUGGAACUCCUGGUGUAGCGGUGAAAUGCGCAGAUAUCAGGAAGAACACCGAUGGCGAAGGCAGCUUGCUGGGACGGUACUGACGCUGAGGCGCGAAAGCGUGGGGAGCAAACAGG
This 253-nucleotide ribosomal RNA is filed under the name uncultured bacterium. Its description in RNAcentral is "partial 16S ribosomal RNA". It matches the Rfam family "Bacterial small subunit ribosomal RNA", at positions 524 to 776 of the family's 1533-position model. The record is from RNAcentral. RNAcentral also lists the same sequence under 1 other name.